UGUUGUAAGUGUUAAUUGCGUGCAUGAUUUUUCAUCUGCAUUUACUUUGGGAGUCUAUGGUAUACCGUUUUGGCCUACCCAAAUGACGCACCAGUCGAUCGCUUAUGUAAUGUGCUCUUGACGACUCAAGUGUUGUCUUUGUCACGGUAAACAAUUAGUAGGUUUCUCGCGCUUCCCGCCUCAUCAAAAUGUGCUACCCUAUAAAAUACUGGACAGGACAACGAUAUUUUUAGAAGACAAAUAGCCUGUGGUUCCAACCGAAUAAACUGUGUUACCGUCUGGAUAAAAUACAGUGCCCCGACAGGAGGAAUAUGCGGAGCCGGCCAUUUCAACACAGUCCUUGCAACCUAAUGUGCCAGUGCCACCCAGAAGACUAACACCCCAUCCCUGUCCCUCAGUGUCCAAACUUUGCCCUCCCUAGACUACGGAGGUCCCAACGGGUUGUCAACCUAAAUUCAGGGUCAGUCUCUCAUUCCCCCAGGACGAAGACGCGCAGCACCCUCCGCUGGACUGGUGUUGGUAAACGAGACCAGACCUACUGAGAAGACACCCCGGUAUAAGCGAAGGAGACGGAACAGGACCAGGGGUAGACCUACAGCACAUUCAAGGCAAGGACAGAGACAGUCCAGCUCACCUGCCGCUCCUGAGGCUCCACAGUCACAGUCAGUGGACACGAAUGGACAUUAACCUACUUUGAGUAACGACCCAGCUCCAGGCCAACACUGUGCUGCAACUAGCCUGGCAUAUCCAACACCUUAUUCUGUCAGUGGACAACAGAACAACACAUUGAGCGAACUCCUAGUAAUCAGGACUGAAAUGGUGGAGAUAUCUCCAUUUAAAGCAAUUGAAAUGUUUGCUUGUUAGCAAUACUUUACUCUACACUACAUGAUUAAUCAUAUCAAGUAUUCCAUAAAAUCCGAUUUUGUGUAUUAAUGUGUGUGUGUGGGGUGGGGUGAAAAACAUUUUCUGGGGACUGUAAUUUUUCCUGAUCUGGUAUGAAACUAGGUAAAACUCCGGACCUAAUUUGGUAUGACAUGAUUCAUCUGUUGUAAAAAAUAAAUAAAUAAAGGUU
Molecule: long non-coding RNA, 1072 nt
Organism: Oncorhynchus kisutch (coho salmon)
Lineage: Eukaryota; Metazoa; Chordata; Actinopteri; Salmoniformes; Salmonidae
Exons: 3
Source: RefSeq, a predicted model, not a curated record